UACAGAGGUCUCAAGCGUUGUUCGGAUUCAUUGGGCGUAAAGGGUGCGUAGGUGGCGCCGUAAGUGGGGUGUGAAAUCUCGGGGCUUAACUCCGAAACUGCAUUCCAUACUGCGGUGCUCGAGGACUGGAGAGGAGACUGGAAUUCAUGGUGUAGCAGUGAAAUGCGUAGAGAUCAUGAGGAAGACCAGUGGCGAAGGCGGGUCUCUGGACAGUUCCUGACGCUGAGACGCGAAAGCGUGGGGAGCGAACAGG
RNAcentral lists this ribosomal RNA (253 nucleotides) under uncultured bacterium. Its description in RNAcentral is "partial 16S ribosomal RNA". It matches the Rfam family "Bacterial small subunit ribosomal RNA", at positions 524 to 776 of the family's 1533-position model. The record is from RNAcentral.